This 253-nucleotide ribosomal RNA is filed under the name uncultured bacterium. RNAcentral's name for it is "partial 16S ribosomal RNA". It matches the Rfam family "Bacterial small subunit ribosomal RNA", at positions 524 to 776 of the family's 1533-position model. The record is from RNAcentral.
UACGUAGGUGGCAAGCGUUAUCCGGAUUUACUGGGUGUAAAGGGCGUGUAGGCGGAGACGCAAGUCAGAUGUGAAAACCACGGGCUCAACCUGUGGCCUGCAUUUGAAACUGUGUUUCUUGAGUACUGGAGAGGCAGACGGAAUUCCUAGUGUAGCGGUGAAAUGCGUAGAUAUUAGGAGGAACACCAGUGGCGAAGGCGGUCUGCUGGACAGCAACUGACGCUGAGGCGCGAAAGCGUGGGGAGCAAACAGG